RNAcentral lists this non-coding RNA (155 nucleotides) under uncultured Rhodobacter sp. Lineage: Bacteria; Pseudomonadati; Pseudomonadota; Alphaproteobacteria; Rhodobacterales. The record is from RNAcentral.
UCUGGUGUCCGGCACUUGCCGGGAUAAUCGGGAACGCGGUGCAACUCCGCGACGUGCCCAACGCUGUAAGGUGGAUGGGGCGGCAGAUGCCACUGGUCGCGAGGCCGGGAAGGCGCCGUUCCGCGCGAAGCCGAAGUCAGAAGACCGGCCAGGCG